RNAcentral lists this ribosomal RNA (253 nucleotides) under uncultured bacterium. Its description in RNAcentral is "partial 16S ribosomal RNA". It matches the Rfam family "Bacterial small subunit ribosomal RNA", at positions 524 to 776 of the family's 1533-position model. The record is from RNAcentral.
UACGUAGGGUGCAAGCGUUGUCCGGAAUUAUUGGGCGUAAAGCGCGUGUAGGCGGCUCGGUAAGUCUGCUGUGAAAGUCCAGGGCUCAACCCUGGGAUGCCGGUGGAUACUGUCGAGCUCGAGUCCGGAAGAGGCGAGUGGAAUUCCUGGUGUAGCGGUGAAAUGCGCAGAUAUCAGGAGGAACACCAAUGGCGAAGGCAGCUCGCUGGGACGUGACUGACGCUGAGACGCGAAAGCGUGGGGAGCAAACAGG